RNAcentral lists this ribosomal RNA (253 nucleotides) under uncultured bacterium. RNAcentral describes it as "partial 16S ribosomal RNA". It matches the Rfam family "Bacterial small subunit ribosomal RNA", at positions 524 to 776 of the family's 1533-position model. The record is from RNAcentral.
UACGUAGGGAGCAAGCGUUGUUCGGAUUUCCUUGGCGUCAAGGGCGCGUAGGCGGCAAUUCAAGUCAUCUGUGAAAUCUCCGGGCUUAACUCGGAACGGUCAGAUGAUACUGUCUUGCUAGAGUGCAGAAGGGGCAAUCGGAAUUCUUGGUGUAGCGGUGAAAUGCGUAGAUAUCAAGAGGAACACCUGAGGUGAAGACGGGUUGCUGGGCGGACACUGACGCUGAGGCGCGAAAGCCAGGGGAGCAAACGGG